This 214-nucleotide ribosomal RNA is filed under the name uncultured bacterium. RNAcentral's name for it is "partial 16S ribosomal RNA". It matches the Rfam family "Bacterial small subunit ribosomal RNA", at positions 27 to 266 of the family's 1533-position model. The record is from RNAcentral.
GAACGAACGCUGGCGGCAGGCCUAACACAUGCAAGUCGAACGCCGUAGUCGAAUACGGAGUGGCAGACGGGUGAGUAACACGUGGGAACGUACCCUUCGGUUCGGAAUAACUCAGGGAAACUUGAGCUAAAUACCGGAUACGUCCGUAAGGAGAAAGAUUUAUCGCCGAGGGAUCGGCCCGCGUCUGAUUAGCUUGUUGGUGAGGUAACGGCUC